GCCCCCAGUUUUGGUGGUAGUUUUGAAAACAGUAAUGGAGGAUUGAUGUCUUUGUUGUGAUCCUGAUAUAUUUGUAUGUUUUGAUGCACUUUGUGCUCAUAGACUUUAUAUUGUGUUUGAUUAGUAGUUCCAUAAGUUCUAUGGAUUAGUAUAGUGAUGGAAUUCAUUCUGGAACAGGACAUCAUGAGUUUAUAUGAACCAUAUUUGAUGUGAACCUCUGUUACCAUUACUGUAGAAGUAUGAAGAUCGUUACUGUUAGUAUUGUGUAGACUGUCGAUGUUAGUUAUUAAACUCAGUUCCACAGACUGAACCAUAUUUGAUGUGAACCUCUGUUACCAUUACUGUAGAAGUAUGAAGAUCGUUACUGUUAGUAUUGUGUAGACUGUCGAUGUUAGUUAUUAAACUCAGUUCCACAGACUGGUGAGUUUAUGUAUACUUGAAAUAGCAUAAUAUAUAGUGUUCAUGUAAGACAGUGAAGAACAUUUGAUAUAAUAUAGAGUUAUCUACCGUUGAUAUAUAUGCUACGGUUAUUUGUAGAAUAUGGAUUUACAUAUAUCUAUUGAGUUAAUUGAAAUAGUGUUAUAUGAUCUUGACAUUAUAGUAGUAUGUUUAAUUGUCAAAGCUGAUGAUUUUAUAUGAACGAUGAGUGAAUAUUUGCAAGUGUUAAUUAUCAUCAGGCAUGUCAUGUCACCUUGUGUAUAGAUAUUGUAUAAGAACUAUAAACAUUCAAUGUUCUGAUUUUAUGUUGAUCUGCAGUAAUGUUAUAAUAACUGUAACACAGUAUGAUAUAGUAUUUUUAGAUUAAUGUGUUUAAUAUGUAUCUUGUUAUA
This is a long non-coding RNA of Mytilus trossulus (common blue mussel), 830 nucleotides long. RefSeq lists it as uncharacterized. The record is from RefSeq and is a predicted model, not a curated record. NCBI's taxonomy places the organism in Eukaryota, Metazoa, Mollusca, Bivalvia, Mytilida, Mytilidae. The transcript is spliced from 3 exons.